CAAUAGCGUAUAUUAAAGUUGUUGCGGUUAAAAAGCUCGUAGUUGGAUUUCUGCCGAGGACGUCCGGUCCGCCCUCUGGGUGUGUACAUGGUACGGCCUGGGCAUCUUCUUGGAAAACGUAUCUGCACUUGACUGUGUGGUGCGGUAUCCAGGACUUUUACUUUGAGGAAAUUAGAGUGUUUCAAGCAGGCCUACGCCUUGAAUACAUUAGCAUGGAAUAAUAAGAUAGGACCUCGGUUCUAUUUUGUUGGUUUCUAGAGCUGAGGUAAUGAUUAAUAGGGAUAGUUGGGGGCAUUCGUAUUUAACUGUCAGAGGUGAAAUUCUUGGAUUUGUUAAAGACGGUCUACUGCGAAAGCAUUUGCCAAGGAUGUUUUCAUUGA
RNAcentral lists this ribosomal RNA (380 nucleotides) under uncultured eukaryote. Its description in RNAcentral is "partial 18S ribosomal RNA". It matches the Rfam family "Eukaryotic small subunit ribosomal RNA", at positions 592 to 976 of the family's 1831-position model. The record is from RNAcentral.